CAGAGGGUUAACACACGCAAGAUACGCACAAAUGCUUAUUCGCAGCAGGAGAAGGAAAGGAGCAUCAUACAUCUUCAGCAGUUUUAGGAUCUUUUUUUGUGUUUUACUGAAUACAUCAUAUCUACAGUUUAAUCGCCGAUCCAUACUUUGUCGACGGGAAAUACCUCAUAACAAACUGACACCAGGCAGGGUCAAAGUGGAAACAUGGCGAUCAGGUGUUAUUAUGAAAACAAGGUGCCCUUAUACAUCAUUCUUGUGAACUACUGUUGUGUUCUUGCCGUUUCGAAAGUCGGCUCUUUUGAUUAUGUUUACUGGCCUUUAAAUGGAAGUGAAGAAGACAUUGGGUGAGUAUCAUUGAUGUUAUUAGUAAAUAUAAACCCAAUCUGCCGAUUG
Molecule: long non-coding RNA, 393 nt
Filed under: Pocillopora damicornis (cauliflower coral)
Lineage: Eukaryota; Metazoa; Cnidaria; Anthozoa; Scleractinia; Pocilloporidae
Description: uncharacterized LOC113669137, transcript variant X1
Source: RNAcentral